GAUGAACGCUGGCGGCGUGCCUAAUACAUGCAAGUCGAGCGAACGGACGAGAAGCUUGCUUUUCUGAUGUUAGCGGCGGACGGGUGAGUAACACGUGGAUAACCUACCUAUAAGACUGGGAUAACUUCGGGAAACCGGAGCUAAUACCGGAUAAUAUUUUGAACCGCAUGGUUCAAAAGUGAAAGACGGUCUUGCUGUCACUUAUAGAUGGAUCCGCGCUGCAUUAGCUAGUUGGUAAGGUAACGGCUUACCAAGGCAACGAUGCAUAGCCGACCUGAGAGGGUGAUCGCCCACCCGGGAACUGAGAAACGGUCCCGACUCCUACGGGAGGAAGCAGUAGGGAAUCUUCCGCAAUGGGCGAAAGCCUGACGGAGCAACGCCGCGUGAGUGAUGAAGGUCUUCGGAUCGUAAAACUCUGUUAUUAGGGAAGAACAUAUGUGUAAGUAACUGUGAACAUCUUGACGGUACCUAAUCAGAAAGCCACGGCUAACUACGUG
This 497-nucleotide ribosomal RNA is filed under the name uncultured bacterium. RNAcentral describes it as "partial 16S ribosomal RNA". It matches the Rfam family "Bacterial small subunit ribosomal RNA", at positions 28 to 507 of the family's 1533-position model. The record is from RNAcentral.